Molecule: ribosomal RNA, 408 nt
Filed under: Aphis argrimoniae
Lineage: Eukaryota; Metazoa; Arthropoda; Insecta; Hemiptera; Aphididae
Description: partial 12S small subunit ribosomal RNA
Source: RNAcentral
UUAAUAGUUAAGUUCUUUAAAUUUAAAAAAUUUGGCGGUAUUUUAGUCUUAUUAGAGGAACCUGUUUAUUAAUUGAUAAUCCACGAUUAAUUUUACUUAUUUUAAUUAAUUCAUAUAUCGCUGUCAUGAAUAUAUUAAAAAAUUUAUUUUCUUUUAUUAUUUUUAUAAUUUAUGUUAAGUCAAGAUGUGGUUUAUAAAUAAGAAUAUAAUGGGUUACAAUAAAUUUUAUUUUUGAAUUUUAAAUGAAAAUUAAAAUGAAAUUGGAUUUAAUAGUAAGUUUAUUUAUUUAGUUAAUAUGAAUAAAGAUCUAAAAUAUGUACAUAUUGCCCGUCAUUCUUAUUAAAAAUAAGACAAGUCGUAACAAAGUAAAUGUACUGGAAAGUGUAUUUAGAAAGAUAUAUUUUAAAA